This 1834-nucleotide ribosomal RNA is filed under the name Triticum aestivum (bread wheat). RNAcentral's name for it is "partial small subunit ribosomal RNA". Lineage: Eukaryota; Viridiplantae; Streptophyta; Magnoliopsida; Poales; Poaceae. The record is from RNAcentral.
AAGCCCUCAAAAAAAAAGAAAAAGAAAAAGAAAAAGAAAGCAGAAGCCUACGAGAACCACAGUCCAGCCGACCAGCCGCCGCCGCGCGAUAACCGGAGUUAAUGGAGACGCCGCCCCCAUGGAGGGUCCUCGAGUUCUACAGCGGUAUCGGCGGCAUGCGGUACUCCCUUGCGUCGUCGGGCGUUCGAGCGGAGGUGGUGGAGGCCUUUGACAUCAACGACGUCGCCAACGACGUCUACGAGCACAACUUCGGCCACCGCCCCUGCCAGGGAAACAUUCAAACACUCACUGCUGGUGAUCUAGACAAGUACAAGGCACAUGCAUGGCUCCUUUCUCCUCCAUGUCAACCAUAUACACGGCAAGGACUUCAGAAACAUUCAGCUGAUGCUCGGGCAUUUUCAUUUAUAAAGAUUUUAAACCUUAUGCAAAACAUGAGCUUUCCUCCACAAAUGUUAUUUGUGGAAAAUGUUGUCGGAUUCGAGGUAUCUGAUACACAUGACCAGUUGCUAGCGGUCCUUUCAACUCUCAGUUUCAACACACAAGAAUUCAUCCUAAGCCCCUUGCAGUUUGGUGUCCCAUAUUCUAGACCGCGCUACUUCUGUUUGGCAAAACAGGAAUCUAUGUGUUUUCCAAAUCCAUCAGUCAAUGACAAGCUGCUUAGGACACCUACAUGCCUAACAUUGAACACUACGAGAACUCAGAAUAGCUAUGACCAGAAUGAAGAUGAUCUGGAAGUAGUAUGUAAUCCAAUAAGAAACUUCCUUGAAGCACAGAGUAUUGGAGAUAAGGAAUCUUCAGCCAUCAUCUCUGACUUUAAGGAGGCUGAUGGAUGCACUCCGAUUGAAACUGCUUCACAUGACUACACAGUUCCACUAAGCUUGAUUGAACGGUGGGGAAAUGCUAUGGAUAUUGUAUACCCUGAAUCAAAACGGUGCUGCUGUUUUACUAAAAGUUAUUAUCGCUAUGUGAAGGGCACAGGCUCUGUACUGGUUACAUCUAAAAGCCUCAAACCAGUUCCAAAAGAGAACCUUGAAAUGUCUUCACUGAGUGAGUUGGGUCUACGGUUUUUCACCCCUCGAGAGGUCGCUAAUUUGCAUUCAUUUCCCCCGAGUUUCCGUUUUCCGGAUCAGAUAAGCCUCAGACAACAGUAUGCCAUGCUGGGUAAUAGUCUGAGCAUAGCGGUUGUGGCUCCUUUGUUGUGCUAUCUGUUUGCCGAGACAUAGACAAGUUCUCAAUCAUUUGGCAGGUGAUAUUCACCUUGGCCCGCCAUCUGAUAUUUGUCAAAAUCUUGCCACACUUGAGUUGCAAGUAUGAUAUUUUAUCCAUCAGUUUUUGUGUGUCUCCGAUCUGUGCAUUGUUGUGAGUUGUGAUCAUGCUCAUCCUUCACGCCACGGUGCAGUUUCACCGAGCUUGAGGACGUGCGGUCAAUUCGCUGACGGCCUAGCAGGUAGUAUUACAGUGAAGAGGUGGGUGCGUCCAAAAUAAGGCGGCAUGUACGGCCGAAGCUCAACCUUUGGAUCUAUUGUAGCAUAUACCAAUACCAGUCCCAAGUACUCCCUCCGUCCCAAAAUAAAACUAGUACAAAGUUGAGUCACUUAUUUGUAAAAUUAGUACAAAGUUGAGUCAUUUAUUUUGGGAUGGAGGGAAUAUUAGGGGUCGACCUCUGCUUUGUGCCUUCCACUCCACAGCCAUAUUUAUGUUGCAACAUUGCAUGUUUUGAGGCCCAGUUAGUAAUGUGAUAAUUUUGUUUUGGGCAAGUGUAAUGUGAUACUAUGUGAUGACUUAUCGUAUUGCGUGCAAUAAAUGGAUGCAAAUCAAAUCCCACUAUGUACCU